This 39062-nucleotide long non-coding RNA is filed under the name Brachypodium distachyon (stiff brome). Its description in RNAcentral is "long non-coding RNA (BDIS_LNC003038)". The stretch from base 24500 to 24572 matches the Rfam family "tRNA". Lineage: Eukaryota; Viridiplantae; Streptophyta; Magnoliopsida; Poales; Poaceae. The record is from RNAcentral.
GUGAGCUCCUCUUCCUUGUGGGUCUCGAUGACGAGGUCCGACUGCGGGUAGGCGGCGCAGGUGAGCACCCACCCGGCGGCGACCUGGUCGUCGUCCAGGAAGCUCUGGUCCGACUGGUCCACCUCGCCGGAGACCACCUUGCCGGCGCACGACGAGCAGGAACCAGCCCGGCACGAGUAGGGCAGGUCGAUGCCUUCUUCCUCGGCGUGGUCCAGGAUGUACACGUCGUCGGGGACCUCCAGAUCCACCUCCCCCUCCGGCGUCACCAGCUUCACCUUGUACGUCGCCUGCGCACGAAGCCUCAUGCCCCUCGCCGACGGCGCCGUCAGCGGGAGCACCACACGGGACGAGACGGCCGAGGAAGGUGGAGGGGCGGCUGUGAAGAGGGAGAGGCUGCUCAGCGCGGUGGUCGCCAUUAUUGCAGCUGUGUAAGCUUUCUUGCGAGGAGGAGGAUGGUGUUGGAGAGUGUAUGCAGUAAGCUCUAGCUGGACUGGAGGGGAUGAUGAAGAAGAAGAAGCAGAGGAUGUCCUAGAGGGUGCCACGUGGCCCCUGCAGGUGCUCAGGCUUAUCCUUAAGCUCGGAGCGACCACGGCCACACGAUGAAGGGAUGGACGUCGAUCCACGAGGGCGUGUGGAGGCCAUGCGAUGUAUCCAAUGCGAUUUUGAUCGAUGCACGGCGGCCGUCACAUUUUGGUUUGAGUCAAGCUAGAGAACCUGAUAUGCUGUAAAUUCUUCUAUCUAUAAAUAUUUCGCGACUGGUUUUAGCGAUAGCGAUCAGUCGAUCGAGUGAGUCUAAAUUUCAGUCAGAAAAGAAAAAAAAUCACAAUGAUUUUAGCGAUCAGUCCGUCAUGUGUGACCGGACGAGAAGCCAAGAAGUACACCAGGUUUCACAUUCACAUCAAAAACAGACAAAAAAACUCGAGAUGGAAGCGAUCGUGCCGAGAGUGUGAGCAAAGAUCGCCUUAGUAGACAGUCAGCGGUCUCUCCUCCUCUUGGUCACGCAAAUGGACUUUAAAUUGAGCAGGUCAUGGAAUCCUUCGCUCGGGAACAAUGAACAUGAAAUGCCUUAAAAUUACAAUGCUCCGACCUUCAGUGCAGCUCACCUUUCGUGAGAAGUAAGGCUCCACCAAUCACCGCUGGCGAUGGCACUAGGCAUAUCAUGUCAAGAACAUGUCGAUGAGGCCGGGGAGAAAUGGCAGGACGGACGUCAUGGAGGAGCAGUGGGUGGCGCUAACCCUAGCAACACAAGCUAGGGACAAGGGCAUGUGUAGGCCAUGCGAUGUAUCCUGCGGGGGAGCGAUGGAUGGCCGGCCGGCCAAUGGGGAUGCAUGGUGGCCACCGCAUUUUGGAUCAGUUGAGUGAAGCCACAGAUCUCAUACACUGUUCUGUAAAAAUCUUCUAACCAGAAAUAUUGUUUCGACCGGUGUUAGCGAGAGCGAUCAGUCGACCGAGUGAGUCUAAUUUCAUACAGAGAAUUAUGCAGUUGUUUUUAGCGAGCAAUCAGUCCAUCGUGGCGAUUGGAUGAGAAACAAAGGAGUACAUUGGGCACAAGGUUUGACGUCUAGAUCAGAAACAAUAAAAAAACAUUGAGGUGGAAGCGAUUGGUCUCUCCUCCUCUUAGUUGCACAAGGACUUUAAAUUGAGCAAGCCUUUCAAUGAACAUGAAAUGCCUCGGAAUCACGAUGCUCCUACCUUAAGCGAGAAGCAGCACCAAUCAUUGCUGGCACUGGGUAGAUUGUGUCCAGAACAUGUCCACAAGGCCUAGGAGAAAUGGCAGGCUGGGCAUAAUGGAGGAGUAGUGGCCGGCGCUAACCCUAGCAGCACGUGCAAGGGGAAAGGGUCCGCGGCGGGGAUGCAUGUGGCGUAAGUCGACGGGUCGAGAGAUAUGCGAAGAAAACCUUAAGGAGCACUGAUCAAUCUAGGGAAACCAUGCGGGAUGCCAAUCGAUUCAUAAAAAAAAACGUGUGGUGGGUGCCGAUAGAACUAGGGUAAACCGUGCGGGAGGGUUGCCAAUCAAUCUAGGAAAAAUUGUAGCGGGAAGCAUGCGAGGGGUUCGGAACGAUGUAGAAAAAGCCAUGUUUUUUUUCUGAAAAAAGAAGAGGGGAUAAGCUCAUUGUACCAAGAGAAAAUUGAACUCGCAUCACUAACUCGCAUCACUACUUCGUAGCUAGUAAAAAUACCAUCAUUGCAGAGACACAUCACACACCUGCUGGCUCAACCAUCAAAUCCAUUAAUUUCAGUACGUACAUAAAUACUAGCAGCAGCAGCAGUAAUUUGACCGUAUGGAUCGAUCUCAGGCAGGGGUAGUACAAAAAAGAGGAACACAUAAUAUUACUUGAGCAUUUCAUUCAAGCUCGCUCGCACAGCAGCAACCAAAUCGAUGCACGAUAAGAUCCAUGGAGCUUAGAGAGAUUAUGAUAUCAUCAGACACUCUUGCAAAAGCUGAAGACUAAAAACUUAGGCGGUGAGCUCUUCUUCCUUGUGCGUCUCGAUGACGAGGUCGGACUUGGGGUAUGCGUGGCAGGUGAGCACCCACCCGGCCUCCAUCUGGUCGUCGUCGAGGAAGCUCUGGUCCGACUGGUCCACCUCGCCGGAGAUCACCUUGCCGGCGCACGACGAGCACGACCCGGCCCUGCACGAGUAGGGCAGGUCGAUCCCUUCUUCCUCGAAGUGGUCAAGGAUGUACACGUCGUCGGGGACCUCCAUCUCCACCUCCCCCUCCGGCGUCACCAGCUUCACCUUGUACGUCGCCUGAGCACGGAGCCGGAUGGCCCUCGCCGACGGCGUCAGGGGAAGCGCCACGCGGGAUGGGGCGACGAUUGGGGACGGCGCGGGGGCGGCGGAUGUGAAGAGGGAGAAGGGCGCGCGGAGGCUGCUCAGGGCGGUCGCCAUUGCUGCUGAGAGCUGAGAGCUUGCUUGCUUGCUUGUGUGGUGUGAGGAAGAAGAAGGAGGAUGAGCUAGGGGAUGGAUGAAGAGGGGGGAUAAGUAAGUAAAGGGGGGGGCUGUGUGCCACGUGGCGGGACGUGGGUGGGGGGCUUAUCUUGGAGCGAGGAGCGUCACACGAUGCUCAUCCUCGUCGGCGCCGGGGGGCGUGUGGCUGCCCGGCGACAUCCCGUGAUCUCUCUCGCUUUCUCUUUUUUUUUUGACAAAGAAGGCAGCCUAGUUUCUGCUGGGCCUUUUCCGGCCCAAUUACUAACUAACUACUUCGGUUGCUCGGCUUUCCUUCCAGGCCCGCUAAGCGAAGCCGACGGCAGAUGCAGCCGUGGGCUGGCCGGGGAAUAUGCCGAGUUUUGGGCGGGUUAUUUUUUUUUCCUUUGAUGCGAAUAUGCCUUUUUUUUUUCUUGCAACAAGUCUGAACUUUUAUUUCUACGGACAAGUCUUGUAACUAGUACACGCGGAGAGACUUUUUUGAGUUUUGACGCGAGUUUCUGUUUGACUGACUUGUUCUCUGCGUCCAUUCGAUUUAAUUUAUCGAGACUUUUUCUGUGACAGCUAAAUAUCGAGACUUUGUUGCGGGGUUCUUUUUCGUACCAUUGCUUUCCACGCAUUUAUUAAUUUAUGUGAAUGGAGAAAACGUCUUAAAUCUAUAAUAUCUAUAAAGUUGAUCUUCACUAUUUUUGUUUGCAAGCUUGACAUAUAAGAUGUCUACAUCAUACGCAUGCAUAGUCUCCACAUCACCAUCCACAUCAUGUGUUGUAAAUCACUAGGAAUCCAUUUUGGUGGUCUUUUUGAAUGUCAUAUUUUGAUACUUAGGAUUGUCAACUUAACGUUCUAUAUAAAUAUUUCGCCAAAUACACAUAUUUUCAUGACAUUAUCAAUCUUUUUAAGAUCUGCAAACACACAUAUUUUGAUGUUCAUGUACAUCAAAAUUAUUCCUAUUGUUUUGCUCCAUAGGUGUUAUGAAUGAUAAAAUCAUUUUGUCCUACAAUAUUUAUAUUUCUUUUGCAUUUAACCAUAUUAUUAUCAUGUGUUCCUAACGUCAUAUCCAGAUGUGCAUCUAGAACUUUCCGCGGCAACGCGCGGGGAUCACCUAGUUAUUACUGUUUGCAAUCCAUAUAUAAAGCGAAGAUAUAUAAAGCAAAAAAAAAACAUCACCUAGUUAUUACUGUUUGCGGGGAUCCACACCGUAAUAAUAACCUAAACGAACAUAUAUAACAAUCCAUGUGGGCAGAAAAAAACAUACAUGAGACAUAUAUAAAGCGACGUCAUCAGCUAUCUACUCCAAUUAUCCAACUGUUAAUCUGCUACCUAGAUCGCUUACAUAUGCAGGCCGUUGCAUGUGCCGUGCUAUAUCACGAAGAUCCAAGACAUAAUACGUGAUCUAGACAGACAUGUAGCUGCUCUCUGUCCUUUCUUACUGAUCAAGGAACAUUUAUAAAAUUAAAAUGUUCUCAUCAGUUCCUGCUGAUUGUCUUGAGACAUUAGCAACCGGUUAAUGAUAAAGAAUGGAAAUCAACGGGGGUCGUCAUCAGAUGCAGAAUCUCUUGUAUGCUUAGCUUGUGGAUUACUACUGUAAUAAAUGCGCGUGGCGUAAAGUUUGCACCAAAUCACACAGCGACAAACGGUCAGACAUUGCGUACAUGCAUCCAUGUAUCCCUUCAUUUGACCACAUAAAGCAGUAUUACCUCCGUCCAAUAAUAACGGGGUGUAUUAGCUUUCCUUUGAUCUAUGGUUUGACCACAAAUUAUUCUAAUAAUAUAUAAUUAUAAGGCGUAAGUUGAUAUCCAUUAUAUUUCUAUUCAACGAUAUUUGAUUAUGGUUAUGACUUUGAUCACAUUAGUCACAUAUUAAUAGAGUAAUUUGUGAUCAAAGGCGAAGUACUACAACAGCUAAUACACACUUAUGUUUAAUUAAUUAAAACAGACUUGAUGCUUCCCCUCUACACUUUUCCCCCUGAUUAGUUCCAGCUGCUCCUUCCGAGUAAUUCAAAUACAUCUGCUGUAGUUACCGUUCCUCGCUAUUUGGAUUGAUCGAUUGACUGAUUGAUUAAGGUGUGUGCACGUAAGAAGGUCAAUUAAUUGAUUAACUGACUAAGAUCCGUGUGUUUUGGUCUAGCCAUGCAUGAUUUUCACUUUGCUUGCAAGCAAGCAGAUAGCUAGCUAGGCAGUAUUUCGUGCCUCCCAUGCCAUGCAUCUUGGUUUUCCCAGGCCAAAAAACUGUCUGUCUGUCCGUCUGUCAGGCAGCAAGGGGAAUGGUCGAAUAUUGAACCGGUCAUGCACGGGGUAACUGACGACGCUAGAACACGCAGUAUAUCGUACCACGCACGUCUGCUUCUUCUAUUUUGACAAAAAAUAGCAAAGAUAUUUCUUGUUUUUCCCCUCUUCUCAUUCAUGUUUUCUUGGCAUGCUCUUUCUUUUGGUAUGUGGCAAUAAUGAGCUUAUCCGAGUUAGGAUAAGGUUAGCACAGCCACAAUAUUAAUCAAUACUAUUAGUAUAUCGUCUGGUAGUAAUGUGUUGUUAAGUCAUGAUGGUGGAGAACAACAACACACGCUUUGUUAGUUAGAAUGGCCAGCCAGCUAGCUCAGUUGAAUGCCCUUCAAUCUAUGAUUGAUUUGCGUAUGCAUAUUUCUGUUGAAGCCGUCAUAUAUAUGGCGUGGCAGCUGCAUAUGCAAGAGCUAGUGUCCAACAAACAAGAACCAACCAGACCCAAAGCGUGUCGGCGCCGAUAGCCCGUUCUGCCGUUCCCUUGCGUGGCACGACACGGUAACCAAUCAAAAUCCAUAUCAUUUUUUCCUUUCUCAUAAAAAAUGUCUAGUACAGUCGCAAAAAAAAUAAAUGUUUAGUGCUAUAUACUCCUACUCCUUCCUAAAUAUCAUAAGUUUUUCCUACUAAGUUAUAGUUUUGUCUGUCUUAAAUCAAACUUCUUCAAGUUAUAUAUCUUCAUAGUAUGUCCAUUUAAUAUUGUUGAUCUCAGUAGAUUUUAUUUAACUUAGAACGACACGGACACAAUUUCUUAUACUCGUAGUACUAGUACUAUUUGGGAACGAAGCUGGUACUUAGAGUAUUUUUUUUUCGUGAUUCAAGUAUUUUUAUUGAGUGCCUUAAUGAACUCCAUUUUUCAUUUUCGACUCCGAUGUGGCAUGGGCUUUGCCGCAAGAAAAAAAAACAUCGAAAAAAUGGAAAAAAAGAAAGGAAAAGGAAACGGUAAAGUGUGAAAAGGUUUUAAAAAUGCCAGCGUGGGGUCCACCCAGUUUGAGGUUGACGACGACAAGUAGUUGCAGCAGCAGAGGAGUAUUUCUUUCUCCCUUCCGUGCGCCCAAAUUUCUCCUCUCCCCCCUUCCUUCCUGCUCUCUCUUCUUCGCCAUUCGGGACCUCUUUCUUCUCCAAUCUCGCUACUAACUCCUCUCCGAUCAACCGGUCCAGAGACGGAGGCGCAGCAGACGCACCGAGGUAACACGGAGAUCCAUCCCGCCCAACCAUCUUCUCCUGCCCCCCCUCUCAUGAUUUCUGGUGUUUCUGUUGGUUGUUCUUGUUAUGGGAUUGGAUUCGGUUGGAGCUUGGAAGAACACGCGCGCCGUACAUGCAUUCGGCAACGACAGCGGGGGUUUAUUUCCGAUUUCAAGACCCAAGAACGGAUUUUUGGGACGGAUUUGGGGAUUGGGAUGUUUCUGUCUUCCGUGCCGUCGACUCCCGCCCACCUCUGUUGACUUGGACCUCCGGCCCUUUAAUUUUUUUAUUUUAGGAUUUUUGUUCGGGGGAUUUGUUCUUGUAGUAGUACUAGCUCUUUAUUUUUUUUGGAUCAUUGGGAUUUGGAAGGGACAGCCUGGCCUUCGGGUUGAUCGCCAACGCCCCCGCCUUCGAUUUCACCAACCUUCUUCUUCUUGUUGGUGCGAUUCAAGUUUCAGGCUCCCGAUUUGCUCAGCGUUUCUGACCAUCUGCGCCUCGAUUUGCUAGGUCAAUGCUUGCUCGAUUCCAACCUUCGUGAGCAGUAGUGAUCAAUGGAUGCAUCCCAUUUUCUUUCUCUUUCAAAUUUGUUGACUUGGGAUUUUACUCUAUCUUUUGUUCUCCUGUCGGUUGGUUGGUUUGCUUGUAUUGACCCAGUAAUGGAUGGAUACUAAUGGCGUGCUGCUUGGCUGAACUGGUCAGGCGAAGGCGACCGCCAACCACCCCGGAGGAGAUCUGAGACCCGACCGACCGCCGCCUGCUGGAGGGGGAAGCUGGUGGAGCAGCAGGAAGGGCCGUAUGCUUGUCGCAGGCCAUGUGCCCGGACAUGAAUCCGCGCCAUACAGCAAGGUAGUCUAGUGUUUGAUUCCAGGAAUAUCGCCAUACUGUGUUAUGAAUUUUGUGUCCCAAUUCAUAGUCAUAGGUUCCAUGGGAUGCUCAGGAAGGGCUCUGUAUCAAUGAAAUUUCCUGUAUCAAUAAGCCAAUUGUAGUCUCGGACACCUGGUAUAUGCAGAACCAGAAACUUGCUUAGCCUUUAAUUCAUUAGUGUCGUCUGUUAAACAAUGGAAUGGAAGUUCCUUUAGUUUUCUGGUUUCUGGUCUUGCACGCCUGAAACGUCGGUCAACUCUUCGACACUAACCUGAUGCUGUGUUUGGGUAAACCUGAAUGAAGAUAUUUUGUUUAUUUCUCCGGUCACCUAACCCUGUGGAUAUUUGAUUUUGGACAACCUGGUUUGGUAGAGAAGUGCCCUUGAGGCAAGGGAACUUCCUCAUCAGAUAUUUGUGUCUUUGACUGUGUCUGUGUUUUCUAAAUCCCAUUCUGACCCGGUCUUCUUUUCGUACUGGCAGUCAAGUUGAAUCAGAGGUUCUAGACGGUAAUCGUAACCAUCACAGCCAGCUUGAUGCUGAUCAUCUUGUACAAAUUGGGAGGAGUCCUAUCAAGCGUGGUAGCAACAAUCUGUCCACAGACGACAAUUUCUCCUCGAGUGCCUCUUUGCAUAAACAUGAACAUGUGAGCUCCGAUCCAUCGGCCCCUAAGGCCGAUGACCGCUCAAUUAAGUCUGGUGAUGAUUCUGAUGGGGCUGAGAGUACCAAUGGCAAAAGCAACAAUACGGACUCCCCAGGUACUGAAAAUGAUAGCAUCUGGAUACCACCUGAAGCUGCAGACAAGGGAGAUGAGACCGAGAGUAACAUUGCUUAUGAUGACGACGAUGACGAUUAUGGUGAUGGAAUCAAGUGGGGCCAGUCAAGUUUCCCAGCCGCUGGUGAGGAACACGAGGCCAGCCCCAAUCCUAAGGAUGAGCGAGAAAAUGCAAUGUUGGAAGCUAUGAAUGGACAACUCAAGAUACUCGUGAGUCGGUUUUUGGCCUCUGCUGGUAUCCCCUUUGGAAAAGGAGAGAGUAGUGAGAGUUGGCUCGAUAUUGUGACCUCCCUGUCGUGGGAAGCUGCACUACUUAUCAAACCUGAUUCUACCAUCGGAAAGGAAAUGGACCCUGGCUCUUAUAUCAAGGUCAAAUGUGUAGCAUCUGGUACUCGCUGGCAAAGGUGACACAUUUGUUCACUUAAAGGUUUUUUAAAAUAUAAUGUAUUCUAUCUGCGUGUUUGGUUAUACACGUUCACUUCAUAACCUUGACUGCAGUGAGGUGAUCAAGGGAUUAGUCUUCAAGAAGAACACUGCUCAUAAGCACAUGCCGACCAGUUGUCACAAUCCUAGGCUGCUACUACUGGAAGGAGUCCUGGGGCACUCUGAUGUUGGUUUAUCAUCGUUUAAUUCAAUGAAUCAGGUUGGUCCUUUCAUAUACAUAUGCACAUUGAAUUGUUUAUAGUAAACGCCGUUUAUUUUUGUUGGAUAGAAGAUUAAGACAUCUGUUCCGUGCCUUUAACAAUUAGGAAAAGGACCAUCUGGAGAGGACUAUAAGUAAGGUGAUUGAUAUAUGCAGUCCCAAUGUUAUCAUGGUUGAGAAAACUGUUUCACGAGACAUACAAGAACUUCUAUUAAGACAAGGGUGUACACUAAUUCUUGAUAUGAAGCUCAGCCGGUUGCAAAGAAUUGCACGCUGUACGGGUUCUCCUAUAAUAUCAUUUCCAGAAGUUCUGGAUAAACCGAAGCUGAAGCAGUGUGACUACUUCCAUAUUGAAAAAUUCAUUGAAGAACACAACGAUGCCAGUGAAGGUGGGAAAAGACUGUCUAAAACAUUAAUGUUCUUGGAAGGAUUUCCCAGGCCAUUGGGUUGCACGGUAUGUCUACCUAACUAGUAUUACAUGUAUGAUGCAUUUUAUACAUUUUCAGUUCCAUUCUUAUUUUUUCCCUAAGAUUGUUUAUUUUCCUCCAAAAGCAAAAUAAAUAAACUAUGCCACGGAGUAUUUUUCCUAUGUCUUUUCUUCCCUGAAAUCUCCCCAACCAAAGCAUCCCUUUGUAUGGAAGUGAAAUCCAUAACCAGAAGUUGUUCCAGCUUACUGUGGACAUGUCUAUUACUUCGACCAGUUAUUACUUCUUAAUAGCUGGCUUGUAGACUGUAAUUAAACAUCUUCUCUAUUCGAGUGGUGUGUGGCCAUAAAAUUUUACGGUUUGACUAAUAAGGCAGAGAACCAAGGUGAUUACAACUUGGCAGGAGCUAGAUACACUUAUGGUGCUUUAAAGUAACAAACCUGGUUUUGUUUGUGGUGAGAUCCAUAGUAGUGGUAUGUGCUUUUAUCAAUUAUUACGAUGAGUGAAUACCAAUUGAUAGUGAUAUAUUCCUGCAUAUUAGUUACAUUCCACUGAACAAAUAGUAAGUGACAGACCAAAUUGUGUUUCAUGGAUUGUUAAAUUAUCUGAGUGACAAUGGUUCCUUUCUCAUCCAGAUACUGCUCCGUGGAGCAAAUACUGAAGAAUUGAAGAAAGUCAAGCAAGUCAUGCACUACACAGUCUUUGCAGCAUACCACUUGAUCCUCGAAACGUCUUUCUUUGAAGAUCAGCGGGUAUUCUUAAAUGAUAAAAAUGUUUCCAAAGAAAAUUAUGUCACCGCUAUGGUAGGGCCUUCAGCAAUUGGUGAUGAUACGGCUGUUCUGGGUUGUGCCAUCCCUCCUUCACAUGAUGAUUCUCCAGCACUUAAAUUAUACCAUGCCACUUCUAAUAUCUAUGCGGAUGGGAAGAAAUCUCUCAGUUAUACAAAUGUAGAUGCUCCAGUUUCAAUAACAAACAGCUCUUUGGAUGAACUUGGAGAAGGUGCAAAUGUCCGGCAUAGCUCAACAUCACCCCUUCACACUGGAAGGCUACCACCACCAGUAUCAGGACCAUUAAGAAAAUUUGCUGACAAGUUACAUCGUCAUAAUAUUUAUUUACCUGUCACAUCAUUCCAAGAAACAACUGAUAAUAAAAUAGAAGGCAGGGUUGAAUCUAGGAAAGAGAUGGUUAGUAAUGGAUUUCAUGUUGGGUCAAAGGUGGAAGAGUCUGCAGCUUCCAGUGAAAUUUUGGAUGACACGAAAGAUCUCUUAAAACAAGAAAGGAUCCAAGAAGUAAUGCCAUCAGGUUCUUCUGGGCAUGGCAAACAUGAGGAAUCAUCCGCUAUGGCUGAAGAUGGGGAACAUCACAGCACCAGUAUCAUCAGCAAUGGGAACAUUUCUAACGAAGAUCAAGCCGAUGAUGCACUUGAUUCUGACAGUAUACUGAUUUUGAUGUCUAGCCAAUGCAUCACAAAGCAGAUUAUAUGUCUCCCGAGCCAACUGUGCCGUAUAAAAUACUACGGGAACUUUGAUUUGUCCUUGGGGCGAUAUUUGCAAGACAUUUUGCAGAAUCAGGUAACAACAGUUUACCACUUCUUCGUUUGUUCACACAUUGUUCUUAUUUACACUGAAUAUUAUAUUUUUGUGCUAGUAAUGUACAUUUUAUUUCGGCUCCAUUGAUACUCUUUUUUGCGAUGUUAUUUGGCUCACUAAUAUUUAUUCGUACUAGAAAGCAAGCUGCUCAUCUUGUCAAGAGCCUCCAGAGGCUCACAUAUAUUCUUACACUCAUCAAAAUGGGAAUUUGACUGUUCAAUCAAAGAAUUUGGUGUCCCAACAUCGCUUACCUGGCGAAUCCGAAGGAAAAAUAUGGAUGUGGACUAGAUGCUUGAGAUGUGAACAUGAACAUGGGACAUCUAAAUCGACUCCUAGAGUGUUAAUAUCAUCUGAAGCGCGCAAUCUCUCUUUUGGGAAAUUCCUGGAACUCAGUUUUUCAAGUCACUCCGCAGCGAGAAGGCUAUCCAUAUGUGGGCAUUUGGUGAACAGGGACUGCUUGCGUUUUUUUGGGUACGCUCGAUGUACUUUUCACAUCAAACAAAAUUAUUUUUUGGCUGCCUUUAGAUGUAACUAUUUCUUUAAUGAUAAUUUCUUUUUCUUACUGACUUCAGGUUGGGCUCCAAAGUUGCAAUGUUCCGCUACUCCUCAGUAGAAAUUUACACUACCUGCAAACCACCACCCACCCUCCACUUCGACAACCCUAGCAGACAGAAUUGGUUUGAAAAAGAGAGGAUACAUGUAUGUCUUAAUACUCUCUACCAUUACCAUCUCAUAGUUGUCUCCAGUACAUGCAUAGUAAUACUUUUUUUUUUGCACUUUCAAAGAUUCUUGCUAGAGGUAUGAAACUUUUUUCUGAGGUAGCAACCUUGCUACAACUCUUGAAGAAUCAGCAUCAUGAUGUGACAGCAACCAGUUGUGGCACAUUUGACCCUGUUAAGGACUUCUCUGAACUCGAAGAGUUGUUGAUGAAAGAAAAGGCCGAUUUUGAGGUAGGCAUCCUUGUCUUAAUUUCUUUUAGACUGGAACUUUGUAUGCCAAUGAAUUUGUUAUGUUUAAUUUAUAUUUAUGGGUUACUAUCUUUAUUUUUAUGCAGGAUUCAUUAGUAAAGACAAUCAACCAAAAUGGGAGAUCAUCCUCAUCUGUGCAUGAGCUUCUUAAUAUAAAUUGGUCUUACCAGGAUGUUCUACUUGAACUUUAUGUAUGGGACCGUCGGCUCGACGAACUUUCUAUGUGUAAAUCUGCUGGGCAAGGGAGUGUUGGUAAUAGCAAUAAUCCUAGCGGAACUGCAGACAAGAUUUCUGGGGCCAACUACGAGAUUGACAAGAAAAUUGGUGAACUGACGUGUGAUAGAACUAUGACAGCUGUGAGGUCAGAUGGUACCACUGAUUGCACUGAUUGCACAAGUAACAAUAUUCCCAUUGACCAUCAAUCUGGUGAGACCGCAGCACACUUGCUUGAUGAUAGUCAGGGAGCUGGCAACUCUGAACCUUCUUGCAGUGAAGGUAGUAAAGAUGAAGGAUCUCGAUCUCUCAUUGCUCCUGAUCAAGUAGAGGUAGAGAGCACGCCACAAAACCAAAAAGUACCUUCACUUGAAGUUUCAAGUCAUACAGAGGUCCAGGGUAACGGGGUAGUUGCACAUCCAGUUUCCAAGGAACAAGAGCCUUCAAGCACUCUCCAGAAGUUCAGAAGUACUGAUUGGGAUGACAGUGAUAGAUGGAUUUGGAGUUCAUUUUGUGAGUCUCAACUGGCUUACAGGAAGGACAUUCAAAUGGGAUGUUUGGAGAAAUUUUAUCUUGUUAACCAUUACUCCCCAUCUCACCUCUCCCCCUUGUUUGAAAAACAUGAGGAGGUGGACACUCCUCAGUUCACAGUUGGCCCCGGUGGUAAUAUUUUAUGUGUAUUGGAGCAUGAGGUAUCUAGUAUAAUAGCUCGUGCUCUCGCCAUAUCUGAGGAACGUAGGCAGGAUACCAUAGUCGAGAACGAGACGGGGGAGGGCAGGGUGGAGCAUGGUAAAACGAUGGAGAAAUCCUAUAGCUUUUUCUCUGAAGGUUCUUUUAGCUCGUCACCAUGGUCAUCUAUUGGAUCAUUAGAUUCUGAAGCAAGCUUUUCAUCUUCUAUUUCGUCAUAUCCAUCUGACGACCUCUCUGGUUAUGAUACCUUGCCUUUAUUGUCCUUGGUACACCCAGAAAUCACUGUGAACGGAAAAGUAACUCUCAGAGGCAAAUAUUCGGUUACUAGUAUAUAUUCGAACCAAUUCUACCUUCUUCGAAAGAAGUGCUGCCCAUCUGAGCUUGCAUAUAUUACUUCCUUAAGCCGCUGUAAGAAGUGGGACGCUCAAGGUGGAAAGAGUAAGGCUUUAUUUGCAAAGACAUUGGAUGACAGGUUCAUCAUAAAGCAAAUCAAGAAAACAGAGUUUGAGUCCUUCAUAACAUUUGCCCCUGAUUACUUCAAGCAUGCUUACCAUUCUCUAGACACUGGCAGCCAAACUUGCCUUGCCAAAAUAUUAGGAAUCUAUCAGGUAGGUUUUUUUGACAACUGAUUUCUAUUCGAUUUAUUUCCUGACUUCUAUUGGGUUUUCAUAUGACUUGUUGUUUCAGGUCAAGCAAAUAAGGCAUGGCAAAGAGAUCAAAAUGGAUCUGAUGGUGAUGGAAAAUCUCAUGUUUGGGCACAAUAUUUCACGAAUUUAUGACCUUAAAGGUGCUAUUUUUUCACGACACAUCGCCAAAUCAAAUGACCCUGACACUGUUUACUUGGAUCAAAACUAUGUUGAGGACAUGCGUGUAUCUCCGAUCUAUAUUGGUGGAAGAACGAAGCAUCUUUUGCAGCGUGCAAUCUGGAAUGACACAUCAUUCCUCACUGUAUGUAUAAUGCAUAUCCUAUAUCUGCAGAUAAUCAUGUUUUCAAAUAAAUAUAUGUCCUAACAAAAUUAUUGUACUUGCAGUCAGUUAACGUUAUGGACUAUUCUCUGCUUGUGGGAGUGGACAAAGAAAAGAAUGAACUUGUGUUUGGCAUCAUUGAUUAUUUGAGGCAAUAUACUUGGGACAAACAGCUGGAGACAUGGGUCAAGAGUUCUUUGGUUCGAAAAAAUGUUUCACCGACUGUAAUUUCACCCAAGGAUUACAAGAAAAGGUUUAGAAAGUUCAUGGCCAAGUACUUCCUCACAGUUCCGGAUACUUGGAGUCCCGAGAAUUCUUCUGGGCCAUACAAAUCCUUUGGCCAUAGCAAUAGCAAGUUGGUAGAAGCCGAUAAUGAUGACAACCUGCUUCAGCAUCCAAUUGAAGCUGAGGCAUGUGUCUAGUUCUGUUCAGGCUGGCAUGUGUCUAGGCUAUUCAGGACUCCUCUGACAGUGCUGUUGAAGCCUAUCCAGUCGUCGUCGUUGUUGUUUCUUUGGCUUGUUUUCGCUUUGUAAAAUUGUGUACAUAUGAGGGCCUCACAAUUGACCUUUCCAGAAGUUUGCACCUUUUAGGCAGAUUACUGGGCAAGUGAGGCCCACAGUACAUGUACCUAUACAAAUGUAAAUUGUUGAUUUCACAAUUAUUAUAGUGAAAUUUACAAAAUUGGUAUGAUUUUUUUGGGAUCUACUAGGCUGAAGCCUUUUCUACUUGCUUAAUUAUUUCUUAUAAUGCCUGACACGGCUAACCGUCCAUGUUGGACUUCUGAUCUCUGUUCAAAUUUGAUCAGUUUGAUCCGUAUUUGACUUUCAUUACUCCGCUAUAGUUACAUUCAUGGAAAUGGCCAAUUUAAUGCCUCUUGAUCUUACUGCACACCUUAUGAAGAACAUUUUGUUGUCAGAUGGACAUUGUCUAUUUUGUUGUGUGCACCCAGUCACUACAAUUUUGCAGAUCUGCUGGUAUGAUAUGUACUGCUUACUUUCUUUCAUCAAUCAGUUCCACGUAUUAUUUAAAAUGAGUGAAAUCAAGUUAAACUUGUUUGUUCCAAGUUUGUUCCUUGAAUUUUGUUGUAAUAUGUGUUUAUGCCCCAAUCUCUCUUAUGAUAUCAAGAAACAGAAUAUAAUUUGAUUCCUGUUUGUUUUCAGGAAAUAACUCACUGGGGAGGACACCACUCUUUAUAAGUCCUGCAUCACAUAGUAGCUGCCUGGUGACAUGCCUCAUCUAUGCAGUUGGUCUAUGACUCUAUGUUCUAUACUUUAUUGCUAUAUAACACUUGAUAUUUUAUAUUCUCAGCUUUGACGAGGCAAAUUGUUAGUAGAUCCUAAAAUUAACUAUUUAUUUAAUUUACACAGUACACACUUUGCUGAUAAGGGAUGCUCCAAAGUAAUGCUCCAGUUCCUUUUCUAGAACCACUGGUUAUUUAAAUUGGUGCAUUUUCAGGAGAAUUAUCUAGCAUCCUGUAAUGCAAUUUCUGAUUGAUCAGAUAAUUGAUGGAAAGAACUUUCUGUGUAUUCACUUAGCAGUCUGGCUGAUACUUAACAUCUACUAGUGUGUGCAAUCCAUAGUCUGGACCAUGAACAUCGGCAGGAAGGGAUUCCUGCAAAUGAACAUGUGAGACCUCGGUGAGUUAGUUCAUUUUAAGCUUUCUUAUUUUCUACCCUUGCAAAACUUUGUUGACUAAUCCACAUAACCCUUUGUUGAACUUUAUAGUGCGUAGCACAUUUUUCUGCAGCUAUAAUCUUAUCAUACUAUCUUAUAAAAAUUCCUGAUGAAUGUUAAACAUGUGUUUUUAUCAUUUGGCUGCAUUGGUGGAAUGGUAGAUAGUAACAGUAUACAUUUCCAAGAAAUGUGGUAUUUGAAUAUAGUCCCAUUGAUCUUCCCAAAGAGUUGCAGUGUGUGCGUGCUUCUUUCCGAGAGUCCUAUAUUUGCAUUUAUUUUUCACUGAUUGUUUCAGUGAGUAUGAAACUAUGAAUUCAUAUGCAGUGUCGCUUGUGAAGUUGGCUUUGCAGCAUUUAUCUCAAGACAUUCCUUUUUCCCUGUCAUUUUAUUACUAACGCCGUCCAAACAUAACGAGCACAAUGCAAAACCACCUUCGCCCACUUUUCCAAUUGGAGUUGCUAUUUGUGUCUUAAUACAAUUCUUUUUUUGCUUCCAAAAUGGCACAUAUACUGUUGUUAUAUAUGUGUGUGUUCAUGCUAAACUUUCUAGCUCAUGCCUUGUGAUCAGGAGAUUAUGUGUUGUCACAAUGUGCUUGAGAGACAUUCUUGGGCAUGUCGUGCCACUUGCAUCUUUGUUUUCAUGACUGAUGAAUACACUGGGUUACGUGACAGAUGAACUCAUGUUAGUUUUUCGAGCAGAGUCUACCUCUUGCUCAUUUGCGAGCAGUACUGAUUUGAAUAAAUGAUAGUACAGUACCUCAGAAGUCAGAGCACUGCUUGGAACAGGCGGUAAUUUGCUUCAACUGUAAUCUACACAUAUAGUCACAUCCGCUGAAUCUUACAUAGUUAACUUUUAAACAUGAAUAUAAGAAAUUGUUGACACUUCCUUCCCUAUAGUAGCAAGAGGCAGUAGUCUGCUAUUGUACCAAUCAUCAGUCAAGGAGGUAAUCCACAAGAAUGGGGUUGGCAUGCAUCUCUUUUCUCCUUUUCACUUUUGCAGGAGGGCAUCAAAUACAUUGGCAGUAAGAGUAUGACCAGAGGGAGGACUUUUAGAUCAUUGCAGAGUGGCUCAUCAUGAUUGCGUGGAUUCUAUGCAAGUCUUGUCAUUGAGAGGGAGGUUACAAAAGGAUUGUCUGGAGAAGGUGAUAAUCUGUGUAAUGAUGCUGAUCCUAACAUCACUGAUUCAUAUAGAUUGGCACACCAUAUUUUUUUUGAAAGAGAGAGAUUGGCUCACUAUAUUUUGAAUUCUGGAUUUAGGAUUGUAAUAAGGAAUGAGUUUUCUCUCGUACAUCUUUGAGAUUUCAUUAAUCAUUUUUUUUUGCAGUGCUACUCUCAGUCUGUUUGAAGUUCCCAUUAACUGCCGAUUUUGAACAGUAAGCAUUCAUCCUAGGUGCUAAUUUUAUUACACUGCACUGCAAACUCUUUCAAUAGCUCUUUCAAUAGCUGAAUGCUUUGUAGGAAUAAUGUCGCAUUAGAUUUUUCUCAUUUCAUUUUUGAAUUUUUUUUGUUUAGUAGCUAAUGAUGAAUUGAUCAAAUCUGAAGAGAGAACUGUGGCAUGGCACUGAUGUUUUCUUGGUUGCAGAUCCUGCUUUAGCAAAAAGCAGUUGGUGUCGCCAUUUCAGUAUAAGGGAUUCGAUUUGGUCGAUUUAUGCUCAGCUUUUUCCUGGUACUGGCAGAAGCUGCCUGAACCCCAAAGUAUGGAGCAUGGAUUAUGCUGCUGCUUACCAUCAUUUCUCUACUGUAUAACCCUGUAAAGCAGCUCAAAUCAAUCAAUUUUGCAUUGCAGCAGUUGAGGGCAUUCUCCUUUUUCCUGGAACCGAUGCCUUCGAGUUCAAGGUGAUCAUCAUGUCCCAAUUCCAGAAGGCGAUCUCAUGAUUCUACAACCAAAACGAUGACUGCUGUCGGAGAUCAUAUGGAGAAUCAUGUCAGGUAACUCGUUUUUUUUUUCAAAGCCACACUAAGGUGUGUAUUGUCCCUAAUUCCUUGCCUUGUCAUCUUCUCUAUUUGUAGUAAAAUAAUCAAUCUUUACUCUGCCAGUCGCCAUGGCAACUAGUGGAGUGAUCAAUGAUAAGGAAGGUGAUUAGCCUACCACCAAAGAACAAAAAGAAGACGCAAAAGAUGACAAGCACAAGAGUUCAUUUUAACACCCCUAGUUGCACCCUUUUUGUCUCUGUCCAACAAGCUGCCCACAUCUCCACAGCACUUUUCCAGUUACAGAAAAGGGCAAAGAGUCGCUUCCCUUUUCCAAUGCAGAUUCUUCCUUUCACUAUCAACCAUUAUAUCAUUCAUCCAUGGAAGAAACUCCGCCUAGAUCAAUGCAUUAAAAAUUACUACACAUAUUCUGAUUCUGAUGCUCAUAAUAGGUAGGCCUAAGCACAAACUGCCUGCCAUCACCAUUGCUGCUUAAAGAAGACACGAUGCAAAGAUGAUAGACACACACACUAGCUGGCUAGCUGCUAUGGUAGCUAGAGAGAGUAGCUAGAUUACCCAAUCACAAAAGCAAAAAACACCUACAUUUUUCUUAAAAUUGUUAGCCUAGUUGUACUAUCUACCAUGCCCUGUUUGUUUCUGCUAAUAGCUGCUGCAAACUCCGAUCAGCUUCAGCGAUGGCUGCACAGGUCAGACAGCAUCUUCCUGCCUUCCACAAUCUCAUCAAAGAAGUCAUCCAGUUCGCCGACGACACUCUCCGCACCUGACUGCAGCACCCCAACCCAGCCUUUGAUGAUCUCCACCCUCUCGGCGAUCUCACCGGGGUCGGCAUACCCUGUGGCGAUGACCCUGUCGAACUCUGCCUUGAGGCUCUCGAUGCCGGCCCUGGCCUGCCGGAACUCGUACAUCAUGACGCCAGAGCCAGAGUGCUGCCCGGCUACUGCCUCCAUCUCCUCGGCGACGCGCUGGCGCAGGCGCCCCAUGGAGGAGACGUAGCCAGCACCCGUGGCACGGAACAUGGGCGCACAGCCAAGGUCCGGGAGGCAGGAGACCGUCCCAGAGAUGAGGAUCAUGAGGAGGAAGGAGCUGGCGUUGCGCAGCGCGUAGAGCACGCCCCGGAAACCGUUGAAGGCGUUGAGCUUGAACUCCACGGGCGACCGGUCGUCGAGCAGCAGCGACGCUGGGUCGAUCCUAGCCUCCGCAAGCGCCCGGUUCUCCUGCUCCAGCCCAACAGCCUGCCGCCUUGGCGCGUUGAUCGCACGCAUCACCUGCCAGCCAGUAGGUGUCAAUGAUGUGAUCAGAAUCAGAUAUAUUCAGAUCAAUAGAGGCAGGGGGGGAUCGUCGAUCGGACUGUACCUGACGGGCUGUGUGUGGGUUGGGGCUGCAGAGCCAGUCGUCGAAGGCGGCAUCGAUGCGGGUGGCGGAAGCGCAGUAGGUGUCCAGCGCGGUGGCGCCGGCCUUGACGACCUGGCAGGCCUCCCAUAGCCGGGAGGUCUCGUCCAUGUACUCGUCCAGCCAGCUCUCACCGGGCGGCAGGUGGAGCCGCUGCACCAGGUGGACGAGCUGCGAAUGCAGGGACCGGAGCAGCGCCGCUGCCUGUUGGAGGAACGGCGCCGACACGAACGCGCCCUCCGGCGACGAUGACGAGGCGGCCAGCGUGCCGUGGAGUUCGUCCAGGCCGUGCGCGAUGGAGGAGUAGAAUCCGUUCAUGGCGACUCUAUUUGUUGUAUAACUGGGAGCAGCAGAGCAGAGCAAAGAUCGAGAUGAGAAGAGAGUGUGGUGCAUGGGAGUGGAGGCUCUGCGCUGAGCUGGAACAGAGACUCUCGGUCAGCUUAUAUAGAGGAAGACUAGAAGACUGGACUUAGAGUGAGGGCAGUGAGUUGUACUAUGGGGAAGCAAUGAUGGUUUGUCCGGCGGUCAGGGGGAAGGAUGAUUGGGGACUGGGCUGGGCAGCCAUUGCCAGGACUCCUGUAUGUGCUCCUCCUCUUCAUGACCAUUCUAAUGGCAUUGCCAAUGCUUGAGAGCUAGUCCUACUAGCAUGCAAUGGAAUGCAUGGGAAAAUGUACUUACUCAGCCUAGCUAGCUGCCACAGCCAUUUUAAUUUCCCCAUGAAUAUCCCACCAGUUAAUUUCCCCAUGAAUAUCCCCCCACUCCAGUACUCCUACUCCAAUUCUUGUCUUGAGUUGCAUACUGCUGGUCCAGAUUCAAGGGUAGGGACCAUUUGCCAUUGACAGUGUACUACUGGCGAUUGAUUAUGAAGUUGUUGGUGCUAAUCAAGGACUCACUAGUGCUACUACUACUUGAGCAGACAGCUGUCAUCUGCUGCUGCUGCUGCUUUCCAUAUUCUGAAUCCGGGUGGGAGGGAGGAAAAAGGAGGGGGGCCAAUGUGCCGGGCCUCUGCUGGGAGCACCAUCAAUAAGCAGCAAGGAAGCAAAGAGAAGCAAGCGCUGGCUGCACUGCACUCCCCUGUCUGGCCUUCCCAAUGCACUCAGCCACCUGUUAGUCCAGAAAGGAAACAUUUUUCCUGGAUACAUGAACUCUAUGGAGUAUAUUGACCAUUGCAGCCACUGUGGGUACUUCUUUGCAACAACAUAUAUAUAUAUAUAUAUAUAUAUAUAUAUAUAUAUAUAUAUAUAUAUAUAUAUAUAUAAUAUAUAUAGUAUGGCAGCUAGCUGCAAGCAAAUGUGUUUGUUUUCUUGUUCUUUUUUCUUUUGUGCAGGCCUGAAGAGGAGCUAGCUUCUUCUUCUUCGAGAUGCAUGGGAUGCGUUGCUGCAUGAGCCAAUAGGAGCAGAGGAGUAUGAGGACAAAGUUUCAAAGGUGGCAGGGAGUCCUAGAGAUGUGUCGACAAGGUGAGCUGUACUCUACUGCUUACUUGCCCGUGGAUUAGUGGGGCACUUAAUUUAAUUUGCUUGAAUUGAUGUUAGGAGGAAUGAUGGGUUUCCUUGUACCCGUACAAAUCUCUCAGUCCGCGGCCAACACAACCCCCAUGCUUCCAUGCAAUGCAAUGCCAAUGCAAUGGCUUGGCCGCCUUUUGAGGUCCUUCUCCCUCUCGCCCGGGCCUCCAGUCCGGCAAUCAUGCCCAAUAUAUGCUCUCGUGCCCCCUUCUUCUUCCUCUCCAUUAUGACUACUCCGUUUCUCUAGGGCACACGUCGGGCCCCGCAUGUCGGUCAAGCCCUUGAGAAACUCAUGACAGUCUUAAUUCCAACACACAACUUCUACAAAAAAAAAAUGUUUCUAUUGUGAUGAUACUGUGUAAAUUAAGAAGACUACAAAUUAGUCUGGAUUGACAACAUUUCUAACAUAGUCUAUGUUGCUUGUAAAACAUGCAUGCUUGUAGUAUACUAGUACUGCAUAUAUGCGGUGGCUUCAUUAUAGUAUUAGGAUUGUCUUUUUGGUCCAAUCCAAUUCAAACACCACAGCUUCAUCGGUGCAUGCAAUCCAUCUCGUGGCAAGUGCUAAACCCUUUUAAGAAAUGGAGCUCGUGGGGUUUUGGGAGGAGGCGAGGGGGAUGUGGAUUUGGUUGGGGAAAUCAAAGGGGAUGUGUGUUGUUUCCUUUGCCCUAACCAAGAACAAAGAUUAAUUAAGCUAAAUCUUACUCCAUGAUCCAUGCAUCAGCUAGGAGCUACCUUUGAAAUACUACUACUACUUGGCCAGCCGUGCCGUACAUGCUGCGUGGUUGACCGGUGGGGGUCCAAGCACCACUCAUCGGCCGGCCAUGAAUAUUCUUCUUGUCCUCUUCCUGCUCUCUCUCUCCAGUCCUAUAAUCCAUGCAUUCAUCUCACUAUGUAUAUAUAGGCUCAUUGCAAAUUAAACAGAUCAUAAAAAGCAAAGAUCAUCUGUUUUUUUUAUUUAGAUCAAGACGGUUCGACUCCCAUAAUUGAAUUAGAUGAAAAGACCAUCUGCUAAACGUUUGCCAAACAGAAGAACAUACAGUUCAUAUGCAAAACACUUUUAUUGUCGGAAAAAGCACAUUUUUUUGGUGUGUGUUCUAUCUAAUCAACUCUCUGUGUCUUAUGUGUUAUAUACUAUCUAAGUAAACUGUUUCCUGCAAAUUUUUCCGUGGCGCGGUCUCUAUUCCGCAUCCGCAAUAUAUCCUCUCAAUUUCUUCACAUAUAAAUUUCCAUGAAUUAAUUUGGUUUUCAUAGCAACGAGAUCCAAAAGGGCAUUAAUUAUCUGCCUGCCUGCCACAGUAAUUUUACUUCUUGGAUAUACACACAUAUAUAGUACACUUACUAUUGGCGACCUUGUCCUGGACGCAUAACUCCAUUGUUUGCUCGAACUUGUAAAACAGGUGGUCACGGAUAUAUCUACGUGGCACACGUAUGCAUGUCUAGUCCAAAUUAGCAUAUGGGUUGGCGGCAACAGCAUGCAUACAUGAAAGCAGCAACGGCUAGCUUUUAAUUUAGCAUGUCUGGUCAGUCACACACACACACACACACACACACACACACUAAUUUUCUCUCUUCUUUUUUCAAAAUUUGUACAGACAUUAUUAUGAAAAUUAGCAGUACUACACUGCCAGUACAGAGUACUACUGCUACUGCUAGGUCUCAUGAUCAAAGUUGCUAGCUUAGCUAGGUGUGCUGUAGAGCUGUAGGAGUGUAGUAGUAGCUUGCAAUGGUGUGGCUGCUGGCUUGACCAGAACUUUGAAAAAUGCAUGCAAUGCAUCUAUGCUUGGACAGCAGCAGUCUACUACUACAAGUACUUAUCACUCUACAUACAGUACACAGAACAGAGAUCAAAGUUGCUGCUGCUGUUGUUCUUCUGAAGCAGCAGCCAUGCAUGCAUAAGGCUGACAGACGGUGGUGUUCUGUAUUAUAGCGUAGCUGGUUCUCGUUUGAUUACUGCUGUCAAGAGAACCCCGUGCGAUGCUACGGAACAACGGAAAGUGUAUCAAGCACGAGCCGGUGGAGGCGAAGUCUGGACAUUGAUCAACCGGCGCUCCCCUUUGAGUUGAGAUCUGCAGGCGCCUCCUCAGCCUCGUCAACGACGGUGUGGUUCUCGCUUCCCAGCAGGGGUGGAGAUCUCCAGCGGGCUUCUGCUUCCCUGUCUCCGUCACGCCUUGUAUCCUCGAUGGGGGUCUCUGGGUCGGUGGUCAGGGGCCGGACGAAAUCCCUGCCCGGCUGCGUCCGGUGCCAACGACGGCGACGCCUACGGGCGCCUUUACCUCCUUGGAGGCGUGGUCGUGGCCCCUGACCAUUCCUUCUCCAUCCUCGGGCUCCAGGGGAAACCCUUGGUUCGGUUUGCCAUGGCUCCGAAUCAGGCAGCAGCAGCGACACCUUGGCAUCGUAUCCUCCUUGGAGGCACUGCUUUGGUAGCCCGUGGGAGUUCGAGUGUCGUGGCAUGAGAUGGCAGCCUCUCUAUUCUUGGCGGCGAGGCUUGGUGGUAGCGCGAAGCCGGUGUUGAUCCUCUGCUCUGGGCGUUGGACUUCAAGGCGCGAUGUUCGUCACUAUCGGUUCCCUAGAUGAUGCAUCCUUCCCAAUUCAGUCUGGUCCAUUCCUCUACUUGCCGACCGGGGCUUGAUCUGCUUCCAGAUUGGCCUCCCUUCUUAGGCGUAUUGUUGGGGGUUGGCCAGGGUGGUCUUGGUGUCAUGGUCGCAGAUUUGGGUGUCCUGCAGCUAUCGUGAAGCGGCCUUCAAGGUCUUGUGCUCUGCCUUCUUUGCCCUAGGGCUGGAGGUGGGCAAGGCGAGUCUCAUGUCAUUGUGGUUUGAAGCUUGGUGGUGUCUCUUUAACCUGCUCUGACCCCAAGUUGGCUCAAGAUCUGUUGGCUGUAGGUCUAGGCUAGCUAGGGCUCCGUCUUAGGUCGUCCGGAGAGGACGGUCAUGUUUUUUCUUGCUUGGCCUCGCCGUUGGCGGGUGCGGUGCAUAUGUUGUAAAUCUUGUAACUUUUGGUUACUCACGCUUCUUUGCGCUUUCUUCUUAAUGAAAAUGACAUGCUUCCAGGCGUGUUCGAGAAAAAAAAAUUAGAGUCUGUUUUGAGGAACAAAUUGGCAGUUAAAUGCUUGAAGUUCAGUUCAGUUUGCUGCUGGAAUAAAGAAGAAACAACAAUUUUGAAUUGCGAUGAGAUCUAUCGAAGAACACAGCUAGCUCAUAUAUAAUGCUCUCCAUGGAAUUUGGGGUGAAAAAGGGAAGGAAAGAAGAGGAAAGCUGAAAAGAGGCAACUAAAGGAGAUGCUAGUCAAGUGUUCUCCAAAUUUUGUGUUGAAUGGCGGCUAUAUUCAUGAGUAGCAGCAAGUAGCCUAACUAGUCAAGUGUCCUUGCUGUGAUGAAUUGAAGCAGGCAGGGCAGAGCAGAGCUGUGUGUCCUCCUAGAAGCUAUAGCUAGACCUGAAGAAAGUGCAUAUCCUCCUCUAUCACUUUUCUCACCGCCAAGUUGUAAAGGGGAGAAAGACAUGCAUGGAAACUGCAAAGUUGCCUCGCUUUUACAAACCAUUGCCUUUUUGCAGGAUCUGAUCUCUAUUUCCUUUCCUGUUACCUCUCCAUGCAGCUGCUAUGCUGCUAUAGUAGCGUAUGAUCUUGGCCAUCCAUGCAUUUCUCCGUCUUGUAGCUCGGCUCGGCUGCCUAAUUGCUGGCUAUGUUGGUUGCUUUCUGGAGACAGAGAGGGAGAAUAUGCUCCAUGUUGUCCAAAAGGGAAACGCAAAAUCAAUUGCAUCCACGGUGGUUCGUUUCUUUCCUUCUCCACACUGUCUUUCUGUCUUCUUUUCUUUCUCUCUUACGUUUGUAUUUCUGAAUGAAUUGGUUGUGGUUUUACAUGUAUGUUGAUUUUUGUUUUAAAGCGUUUGCACCAACAUAUAAUACAGGCAGUUUUUUUUACAGUGCAAGAAAAGGAGAAGGACAGAAAUGAAGGGAAGCUGUAUAACUUUAACACAGCUGCUAUACAACUAUACAAGAGAAGAAGCAGAGACUCUGACAUUGAACUUGAUCAUGGGCCAUUUGGAAUAUGCUCUGACAUGGAGGUGGUAAACAAGCUCAAUCGGUUUAUCAAAAACCAGCAAGGUACAAGCAAGGGUCCAGACACUGAAGAACUGAACAAAAAGCAAGAUAAACCAGGCGAGAGAACCGCCCAGCAAAGUUGCAGACGCUAAACUAUCAGAACAACUACAAGAGUCACAAAACAUCACGAUAAGAAACAGAAAGGCUCAUUUGUGUACUAAGAUGAUAUAACUUUGCAAUAAAAUUGGCUGUGCGCAUCGUUUCAUCGUUUCGAUGCAGAGGCCGGGAAGAACCCCUUUUCGAAAAAAAACGGUUCGUCCUUUUCCAAUGAGCGUUCUCUAGCAUGAAUUCGAAUGUAAUUCGUGCACGUAAAUGAGUGGAAAAAAGAAUGCUGUUGCAAGGGGUUGGAUCAUACUGUCUAGGAGAUCUUAUCUAAUGACAUACAAACAGGAGGCGCUCGUGGCCUAAUGGAUAAGGCAUUUGACUUCUAAUCAAAGGAUUGUGGGUUCGAGUCCCACCGAGCGUGUUCUUUUUUCUUAAAUUUUUUUCAUUCAUUAUGCUUCCCAUUGAAACUUAUUUUCUUCAGCGCAUGCUAUUCAUAAGUCGUCUAAAAAGGAAUUUUUUUUUGUGCCAAAUUUUAGCAGUAAUCUUGUUGUAGCAUCGGCAACCCCAAUCAUGAAAAUAUAAAUUCAUAGAAGUGCCAGCAUAAGAUAAGAUGCUAUUAAUUUGUCCAGCAACUGAACACAGACGCUAGAAAAAUUCAGAUCAGGAUUCCAAGAACAAUAAACUGGGUGCAGCGACCAGCAUUAAAGCUUAAAGCAAUAGGGAUUGUAAUCCAGGGGUCAUCAAACAUAGUAGCAUUGUCACUGACACCAAAAAGAAUGUAUAUAUGCUGGAGCCUUUCUCUAUGCCAAAAUGCUGUUUAUUAAUUGUCUCUAUGAUUGUCAACAGCUAGGGACUAUGCAUUGUAUUGCUUCCUAGAUCUUCUCUUGCUUUUCGCCUACGAGGGGGAGCAUCUCCAUCCGGCUUCUCGGGGUCCGCGGGCUCAGGGUGGCGCCUUGCUGGGAGAUGAGAUGCCUCACGUAGCCGUAGAAGGUGCAGCCGACGAGCGUGAUCCCGCACCCGACCGCGUUCAUGGCGGAGAUCGGGUUCCGGAAGAUCAUCCAGGAGAUAAGCACCGCAGCAGCUACCUACACAGACCCAUCAUGGUACCAUCAGUUUCCCAAUGCUGAACUUUGUUUGUUGGACUGAAGAAGCAGAGUGAAGAGGAAUGGGGAUAUCAGUGCUCUCACCUUGAGGUUGCCGGCCACGUUGAAGGUCACGGCGGUCGUCGAAUGGAUGACGUAGAAGAUGGAGAAGUUGAGGCAGAAGGCGAGAAUUCCUGAGGUGAUUAUGAUGAUCAGUGCAGGGACAGUUGACUCGUAUGUGUAUAGCCAGUUGAUCACGCCGCCCCCUUCGAGUACAAUCGCUGGUACUGACAGUAUCAUGGUGGCAAAGGGUGCCAUGUAGUACACCGUGUUAAUGCUGCAGAGAGAAAAAAGGAACAGAAAACACAGGUAACCAAGAGGAAAAAUAUGCAAUAUCGUAAUUGAUCGUGUAGGUACUAUGAAAAUAUGAAGAAAUUCUACAUAGCAUGAUGACAACAGAAGCGCUAUUACAUUAUCCAUGAAUAACUCUGUUAAGAACUAUUGUGAAUUAUCAGAUGACAAGAACUACUUCCCCUUUUAUUUUUACUUUUUCUUGUUGUGAAGCUCAAACAGAUGCUAUAAGAUCAUUUCCUCUGUAAACUGACUGGAUCACUGUUUACCUGUCAAAUUUGUAUCCAUGGAGUAGGGAUUCUGCCAAGAUGGUCUUUGUAGACGUGGCGAGGCAGCCAACCAUGGCGGCACAAAAACCAAACAUGUUGAAGCUAAGCUCAGUUACUGAAGUCAAGAGGAUUCCCCCCACAAUAGGAACCAAUGAAGCCCAUAUGCGCCACUCAAAGUAUUUCCUCCAGACCAACCACUGCAGGAUAACUGUUCUACAACGAAUCAGAAAAUGACGCAACAGCAAGUGCGAAAAAGGCGUCGUCCUCGAAGAUGAACAAAUCAGAGAACCUGUCGUUGCAGGAGUGAAGGAUUUGAUAGUCUGCAUGAAGGAGACUGGGAUGUACCGCAGGCUGACAUUUCCCAGCACGAUGUUUAUGCAGAACACAAAUGACAUGGGGAAUAUCCUUUUCCAGCGAUCCUCGGGGGCAACCUCGAUCAGCGGUUUUAUCUUGAGCAUUUUGAUUGCGAUGUAAGCUCCGAUGGAAGAGCAUAUGAAGUGGACGCACGACACGGUCAGAGGAAAUUUGAACUCCAGUUUCUGCAUCCCAAGAAAAAAAAAAUCAAGUUCAUGCUUUUCUGCUGAGGAGGCUGCAAUAGUGCCACUGCCAUGAACUAAUUGUCAGUUUAAACUUGAAAGCAAAAAAAUGUUCAUUCCAAGAGAAAGAUGGUGGCAGAAGCCCAUGAGAAACAUCAGUCAUAUCGACUCUUCUACAUGUCAUUUGCGAUUAAGUAUGUUCUCAAAUAUUAUGGUACUAGUCCACAAAAACAUAUUAGCACAUAAUCAAUGUUAACUCCGAAGUCUGAACCUUGGGACAUUUUUCAGCUCACUAACGAAAUGGCUCCCAUCUCCAAUCCAUUUUGCGGAUUGUAAUCUACAUUAAAACCAAUAAUUACCAUCCCAAAUAUUUCCAAUCCUUCAUGUUUCUGAUUCUUCUUCCCACAAAUAUCUUCGUCUUAACUCCAAACCUAAUCCUUUUGUGGAGAAACCUAAUUCCAACAAUUUACAGCCAUGAAAAAGGACAAUCCCUUCAUAUUCCUAACAACAUGAUAAAUCAAAAGCCAGCUAAUCUGCUCCCCUGAUUGCGCAGAUCAACCCAUAAACAUGAACAAAUCCUCCGGAAGACGAGGAAAUCGAGAAUAUAUAUUGAAAGAAAAGUUGUAAGCAGAAUGGGACGGAGGGAGAAGAGCGGCCGCGAGACGGACCUGGAAGAUCCAUUUGUUCAUGAUGAUGACGGUGACGUUGAAGCACCACCAUUGGAGGAUGGCCAGCACCGCCCUCACCGUCGCCACGUUCCCCAUCUUCCCUUCCUCCAUAUGCAGCGCACAAAAACAACAAAGAUCCCCUGGAUUCAAUUCCAAUCCCACUAAAAAAGAAACGCCUUUAAUUUCUUCCAGCCGGAGUCCAGGAGAGAAGAAAAAGGCAGAAAGAGACAGAUGCUGGAACGGCUGGCGUAUUUAUGUGUAAUUAAUCAGUGGAAAACUCCUCUUGAUGAUCCAUUUGUGGAAGGCAGCAGGCUGGCUUCUAGAAGACCAUGGUGGUUCUUCUAGAAGGUUCCAGAAGCCGUCAAGGCGUCAGGAGAAGAGGAGGAGGAGGAGCUAGAGGGGUUUCGCUUUCGGUCGUAGGAUUUGCAGGUUGUGGUUUUUAGGUUGAGAGUUCGAUUGGUGUGAUUCUUGCCUCUCAUAAUACGUGUUGCCACUCUUCUUCUUCUUCUUCUUCUUCUUCCUCCUUCUUCUUCUUCUUCUUCUUCUCUUCUUGUAUACGUCAGCCUAGCCAGCUCAGGCUUGGACACGUGUCACGUGGGACCGUCUCAGCCGAGCUUGGACACGUGUCAUUUAAAAACUGUUUAAUGGGUCGACAUAUGGGCCUCUCUAUGAGACUCCCCUGGGACCUCCAACCAAUCCCUGCAUCUGCACAGAACACACCAUUCUUCUGAUGAAAUCAACAGCAUUUCAAGCUCAGCUCACCCGUAGAAAAGCCAGCUUGCAGCAGCCUUCUUCCCCUUCACCACCAACAAUUAUUUUACAUUCCCAAUCACAAAUCGAUAACAGAAAGCACAAACAAGUAGCUAGUCAAACAUUGUUCUAAAAUAUAUGUUCUUCAUCAUCAUAGAUCAGAGGGAUAAAAACAACAGGUGAUGAAGCACAAAACGUUGUAAACAAAACAGCAUCAUUCGUUGCUUACAGCAAACACCGAAUUAACCUCCCUUCUCCACACAGAAAGGGAAACAUCAAAUGGAGUAAUAACGUUCCAUGCAGAAACAGCCAACAUAAACAGUCUUCAACAGGUAAGACUUGUCCCUGUAAAUGUCAACUGCACAACUGACUGGUUGAUUCAACCAGUCAUGUCAGGGUACUGUAUAUGGCCCCUUCAAAGAGGGGGCCGCCAAAAGGAUCAUCCUUUUUCUUCUUUGAAUGUAAGCUUGGCCAAGCAAAAUGUUGCGGAAGAUAUUCUGCUUAUUACGUCUCUUUGCCACCAACUAGCUAAGAAUCCGACUGACUGGCAUGCUUCAUGUUCUUAUGUCUCUUCAGGACAGACAACUCGUACUUUUGCAUCCCUUCCCUCGCCCUCCGUAGACUGCACGACGGGCAAUACCACUGGCCUUUCGGGAUGCAGGUGCGCUUCGGCGUCAUGCAGUAUAUGUGAUAAGCUUCGUCACAGCCGUCGCACAAGGCGAUAUCUUUGUCAUCCUUAUUCUUGAAGCAGCAUCUGCAGAGACAGGACGGGCAGUACCAGCAUCCGAGGUUUUUCUGCUUCUCAGACGCGAUCUGGCUUUCUCUGAGGCAUCGGAUGUGAUAGAAUUUGUAAGAGCAGUAAGGAUGACCACAUACCAAGAAUCGCCUGUCGUCGUCUUCGCAUGUGCCGCAGUGUUUGCACAGCUUUGCAAGGGCAGUUGUGCACAGGUCUGGCUCGUUGUCUUCCACCACGCAUGGCACGGAGCUCCCCUCUCUUUCAUCAGCUAACUCCAUUCCACUACCAAUUUCAGGCGGUUCUAUUUUCUCAAGGACUUCAAGCCUGGCACACAGAGGACAACCAACAUGCAAACUGUUCUUGUGAACAUUUUUCAUGAUGUCUGCAGCUGACCCCUUCCCCUUAUUGCUGCAGGCCGGGCAGUGCCAGGUUGCUGGGAUCUGUUUCAUAGCAGGAUGGAGUCGCUUGACACAGUCAAAGUGGUACGUGCUGUCACAUCCAUCACAGAUAAGUCUUUUUUCUUCUUCUGCACCGUCUCCACAUUGCUUGCAAGUGCAAAUUCGACGAAGUCCACCUGUCUCGGUUCGCUUUGGAAUUGUAGAAUGACCAGAAUCACAUGGGGAGAACUGCACGGUGGUAGUCGAACCCUUUGGGAUUUUGUGGACGACACCAACCAAGCUUGUUUCCUGGUGAAGAAUGCAAUUAGUAAAAGGUGUUAAUAGAGUGCAACAACAACAAAAAAUGACCAGCAGACUGUCUCCAAACACACCAAUUACCUCUAUCCGGCGCUCAGCAGCAUCCUCUGCUUCAGAAACUCCAGAAGUCUAUAAAGAAUAUAUCGUAAGCAAUGUGCAGUACCAGCAUAAAAGCCAACAAGUUAAAGACUCCACAAUAGCUUGAAGCAUGGUCGUGGAGAAAAUAACUACAAAUUUACCUGCUUCUGAUAAGAAGCUCGUGAAAUGAUUGGAAGAUUGCUUGCUAGACAUGUCAUCUCCCGGCCAACUCGUUCAAACUUCUCCCAUGUCUACAUCAGAAACAAAUAUCCAUACAGAUACAUGAAUAUGAUGACACUUUACUCAGAAUAUUGUUUGCCUGAAUGUUAUGCAACUUCAGGUGAAACAACAAUAGCAAGCAAGCAGUUUCAUUGAGCACUGCUCCUAUACUAGCUACAACAUGGAAUGUGCUACUUAGAAAACAUGAUUCAUCCUCCCUUGGGAGUCUCCUGGUUGGAUGAUUCAAACUGUUUGGAAGGCCAAGGCAGCUAAUGUGCAAUCAAAUGGUGCAAACAUAGGAACUAGUUUCAGAACAACAGUGUAUAAAGGGCUUUCUCUACUCUGCCAAGUAAAGUGAAGUUUAUGUAUCUAUACUAGAUAAAGCUCAAGAAUAAACAAGAAAGCAGUUAUUUUUUCCGAUGAUUGAGUAAAAUGGAGAUAAAGCUACCUGCUGGAUAUCUUUGUUGAACAACGCCGGAUUCUGUGCAUAACUUCCGUUUCUCAUGUUGGCGUCAAUUCUCCCCAAAUCAAUGACCUCAUGAACAUUAUUCACAUGGAAAGUUUCAACUAGCAGAUCACACAGCAGGGCAAAUUUCUCAGAGACUAAAAUGUCAAGGAGAGCACUGUUGCACAUUGCUGUGUUGGCAUCCAAAGAUGCUGCAGUUGCAUCUUUUAACGCAACAAAGGAACAAAUCUCUUUCGCAUCCGCCAGCCCAGUAGGAUGCUCAUCUGACGAAUCUUGGGCCUUCCCAAGGUCACCCUGGUAAUCACAGAAGUUCACCGUCAGUUUCAUAUCACAGUAUAACAAGGUUGCUCUUUUUAUUAAAUAGAUAUGAGAAAAGCAAAGAAGAUGAUGACUGACUUGUUGUUCAGAUUGGCAGCGGUUGUAUCUGAGAGCGUCACAGAUGCAGCUGUGAAUCCCACCGCCCUUAUUUAUACCUGGGGCUUGCAGGUAGCCCUCCAAUGUGUUCUUCCAAGUAAUCCAAUGCCUGGCCAGCAUUGGGUGCCCAUCUUGGCGAGAAUUGCCACCGUACAGCAUCAUGGCGGCACUAGACUGCACGGAAAUAAAGCAACCAAGCACAUUGGACACGGUUCGGUUAUGUAUUACAGUAUAAAAUAGGCAUCUCAGGAGUCAGGAGACAGAAUUCCUAGGAACAAGUAGCAGGAGCCGAGAUUCAGAGCAAUUCGAAAGAACAGAGUGAGCAAAUCUAGCCGCGUGAAAUGAAAUCUUGGCUGGAGUGCUUAUGGCACCAGGAAGCCAGAGAUGUCCCAGUUGCAACAGCGGAACACGGCGGCGGGCGGGCGGGGGGAAGAAAGAAUGGAAGACGGGGAGAGCAGGGGUUAGAUGCGAAAGCUUGGCUCACCUGUCCGGGGUCGGAGCUGGCGCCGCCGUCGGCGCGGGAGGCGGCGCGGCGGCGCUUGCGCGUGUAAGUGAGGACGCCGCCGCCGCUGCUUCCGCCGGGGGUCUCCGGGGCGCGGCGCUUGGGCGGGACCGGCGGCCGGCUGGCGCCGUCCUGGGAGGCGGACAUCUUGGCUCCCGUCCGGCGAGGCUACAGCAUGUGUUUUCCCCGGCGAAGAGCGGGGCCUAGACUGGGAACUCAGCGGGAGCGCAGCCGCGGCGGGGAGGACGGCCGAGGGGGCUGGUUUCUAGGGUUUGCGGAGGGGCGGUUUGCUGGGGAAGGAUUUGGGGAUUUGUGUGGGGAGCGAGGAGCGGGAGGAAGGAAGAAGAAGAGAUUUUGCGAAACGGAAACGGGGAAAGAAACGGAAACGCGGACGGACAGGCUGUGUGUGUGCUCGCCGUCACGGCUGCCUGCUUUCAACUCUCUCUCUUCCGUCUCCACCAAUUCAAAGUGCUCACGAAAUUGGCAGCGGACGUUCGUUUGGUAUGCUUAGGGGGCGACAUCCCCGGUGAGGAGAUAUACGGUGGAGGAUGAGGCGUUGGGUCGGUAGGCUUAGGGGUCCACGUCUCCGGUGAGGUUUGGUAGGAGGAGAUAUACGGCGGAGGGUUGGGUCGGCAUGCUUAGGGGGUGACAUCUUCGGCGUUGUUGGGGUAGUAGGAGGAGAAGGAAAGGGGGAAGGGGGAGGACGGCUGAUCGUGGUGACGGUGAGGUUGUAUGUAUAGGUGGCCAACUAAGCGGAAGGAUUCGAUUUUCGUUGGUGAGGAAAUGUCUUCCCGUGGCUGUGUAAGGAAGGAGAGGCCGUGUCAAUAGGAAAUGAGCGAGAAGAGGGGCAGGAGGAAGGAGAGGCGGCUGCAAGAGGGGAGGAGCGACGAGAGGCAGACAGGGAGAAAACCCUAAUAAGGCAACAGCUGUAGGGCUAAAUGGGCUAUAGUCCAUAGUUGGGUUGUGCUUUCGCUCUCUUCUUUUUUUCCUCAUGUUCCCCGUUGUUAUCCCAGGCCUUAAUCGCUCUCUUAUUUUUUUUUCCUUGUUGGCCCGUUCGGGCAGCCCAAGCACUGUAUACGCGAGUUGGGCACCGGGUGGAAACAAAAUGUCAUCCACUGCCCAAUGCCUUCCCAAACCUUAUAGGUCACUACGUAUUCAACACAAGUAAAGAACUUCGUACCAAACAUUCAUUUGGUAAUGCUUACGGACGAUCUCUUCUAGGAGGAUAUGUGCGGGACAGGAGAUGUCGAAGAGAAGGUAAGAUGGGAAGACAAAGGACCGCUGCCCUUGACAACGCGUUUGUACGUGUCAAACAGUAUUGAAACAAGUAGAUAACUUUGCACCAAACUCUUAGCUCGGUAAUGCUUAGAUGGCGAUGUCUUUUGUGCCGCUUCGGUAGGAGGAAAUGUGUGUAGAAGAGAAACCGAGGAGGAAGAAAAUAAGGGGAAGGAACGCAUGCAGCUGACCUUAACAAUGGCGAAGUCGAACGAAUCACUUGGUGUGGCCACAAGACGACGGCGUGGUCGAAUGGAGUGGCUGAUCCAAGCGGGCGGUGCCCCCACUUGACCACGGGACAACGCCGAUGGCUUGCGGGACGACGACGAUGUUAGAUCUAAGAAACGGUGUGGCGGCGGAUCUGAGAAGAAAGAGGCGGAGGGGAAAAGAGGGUUUGGGAGACUAACCAUACGUGGCUAUAAAUACAAUCGAUGAUGUCCUGGGAAAACAUGAGGCGCAAUUGCGGAGGCAAAUAAAUGUACUACAUAAAUGAGCCAAUUUUGUGAGGAAAUUUCUCUCUUUCAUAUCAGAAAGUCUGUAUGUACGACGAUUUCGUGUGAUCUACUCGCCGAUCCAUAAUAAAUGAGCGACACUUCUUAUGGAUCUGAGGGAGUACUAAAUUUCCUCAAGCCCAAGCCCAAGCCCAGAUGGCAAUGCUAGUAGUUUGUCUUUCAUAUAGCUUUGCUAGGCCAUCUGUAUACACGCUGAAAAAAAAAAUUGCAGGCCAUGCCAGCCAGCCUCACAAAGUCAGGUGACUUAAGUCAGAGAAUACUGGCUGGUGUCAGAUGGUAGCUAAUUCCAGUUAAAUGUUGUCAAUUUUCAAAGCAGAAGCAUGAAACUACAAAAAAUAGUGGCAAUACAGAUAUGCGUAUAGAAUAUUGAUUUGCUAUCUUUCUUUCUUUUUGCAAGGAAAGUGCCAUUCCCUUGCCUGAGGAUACUAUAUUUACCACUGCCGCGUCGUUUCUCCCCUCGGCGGCAGUGAGACAUCAUAUCAGAAGGCGCUGGAGACUACAUAGCCUGCCAACGAAGAACAUCACACAGCAUGAUCCAGCAACGGGCCGCUCGCUUUGCCUCUAAAUGAGGUUGUCAUCCCUUCGCCAAGCCUUUUACCUGAACAUGGUGUGCUCAUCCCGUUAGAUGAAGACCUCAAUCAAAUUGUGAACUGGACAGAUAAGAUGUUGGAUGAUGCAAGAUAUGACAAUUUUGAUGUGAAAAGGAAAGACCAAAUACUGGCAAGAUCUCUAUACGUGAUAUCAUAAUAGUCAAUAGAAGAUCAGCAUGAGUGGAAUCACAUAAGUAAUGUCAUAAAACUUAUCAUCAGGGCUUACUCUCUAUCAAGUCAAAAAAGGAAAAUUUGCAGUGGCUGGUAUAGUUUAAAACAUGGUGAAAAGGAAAAAUUGCAGCAGCGAGGUGCUAUGUAUUAGAGCUCUUUUACGGUACCCCGGAAUUAAUAUUGGCCAUCCAUUCACCCCAAUCUAAUGGCUAUUGUUAUCGGGUACUCCACCGAUGGUUCUCUGGAGUACUACCUCGAAAAGGCACGGAGUACCUUGUUACAAGGGGUAAAAUAGUAAUCAGAGACUUUCUUAUUUCUCAUUAGGGGCAAUCUCUGAGUUUUUCCUCGCAAUCAACAUGAAAACAUUCCCCGUGUGAAAAAAUUAUAACCCGAUGAACCCUAAUUCUAAACAGGUGAGACCAUCAUCCAUAGAUUCAAUCGUAGGUCUAAAAUAAAUCAAUGGUAGAGAUGUAUAAUUGAUCCAAGAAUCCACUAGGAGGCUGCACAAUUGAUCAAUCCAUACGUGCUGUCGCUGCUGUGAUCCAAGAAUCCACGAGGAGUCUGCACAAUUGAUUGAUCCAUACAUGUUGUCCUUGCUGUGAACAGCGCCAUCAGAAUCCCGGACAGCGCUGUGCAGCCUGUAGCGGGUGAGCGGCGCGUGCGAUCAAGAAUAAAAGUGAACCAUCGACGGCGGGCAGAUCUGGCGGCUAGACAGCGGCGUGACCGACGGGGGCUUGAUCGUUCGUCGCCUCGUCGGUGGCCAGACGCGAGGGCAGGGCCGCUCGAUCAGCACUGUUCAGUCAAAACAGCCCUUACAAAAUGUCCAAAUUACCCUCAUGUUUGGACGGCCAGAUUUAUUUGGUACUCCAAUCCAUGCCAAAGAGUACCAGGGUACCGUAAAAAAGCUCAUGUAUUAUUGGUAGCUGGCUUCAACAAGUCAUGACAACUUGAAAUUUAAAUACAGUGAAAACAUGUGGAACUUUGUCAGGAUCAGAAGACUUAUUCUUAACACCGUUCAUCAUGUUGAGAGCACAGGGUUUGCAUAAACAAAGCAAAAACGCGUAAACCUCAGCAACCUAACAACUAAGAACUCACUUGCUAUUAGUUUUAAUUUGGUAUGGUUUCGUAUAUGUUGGAAUGUUUGAUUUUGUUGGAAUUUCCAAAGUGAACUAAAUGACGUAAACAACAAGCCAGGCAACUGGAAUCUGCAAUCGACAAUGGCAGUAGAAAAGUGUAGUGAUAUAUGUAUGUACCUGGGAGAAGAUGAGCAGCCGGAACUGUUAUGGGUCACAGAGAACACAUUGGAGAGAGACUUUGUGAGGUAUGCAAAGUUUGGUAUCGGCGGCAACGCGGGCACACGCUCCCCUUUCCUCAGCAGCUCCUCCAAGUCGAGCCUUUGCAAAGUGAGUACAGACUUGUUGUCUCUCCAAACAAAGGCGAGCCGGCCAUCCUGGAGAGCAAAGAGUGACCCGGGCUUUGAGCCAGGGUACCUGAACCCAUACCCCGCUGCAAUGCCCUCCCCGGCAAAGCUUCUCGCAAUGUCCACACGGCGGGAAUCCUCGUCGGACUGCCAUGGAAAUGCCUCUGUCGAUGGCUCGCCCAUCCGCGCGAUAAACAUGGCCGACCCAUUGGGAUGCACGACAUAGUGUGUGCCCUCCAACACCUUGGUUGCGAUCAGCAUAAGCUUCCUCUCGCUGUCUUCCUCGUAGGAGAGGAGCAGGAAGAAGAGGGCCUUCCGUGGUUUGCGGUCAUCCUCCGGCCGCCCCGGUGGCCACCCGAAUGUGCCUCCCCACAGUCCGGCAUACUCCCGGCCGGGCACCGGCGCCUGUGUCGCCAGCUUGUAGAGCGCGAACCGGUUGCCAUGCAUGCUUGGCCACGCUCGGUAGGUCGACAGCCGCAGCUGGGCGCCCCGGAGGCUCAGGCCAACGCUCUUGCCGGCGCGCAAGAACUCGUCCAAUGCCAGAUGCUUGCUGCCUCCGAACUCUACCGUUGAAUUGGCCGACGCAGAGCGCGUCACCAUCUGCAGCAGCCCUUUCCUGACGAACCCGGCCAUCGCAGACAGGCUCCUCCGAAGGGGAACCUUAUCACCUGCAGCAUCGCCGUUCGUCGUCGGCGGCAUCUUCUUGGCUGCUUCCAGCAGCAGAGCCUCGAGCUCUGCCCGGCUCACCAUGCCGCCGCCGGACGACGACGAAUCCUUGUGCAGACGCAGCAUCGCCUCCCGGCGCGCGGCGAGCAAGGGGAGGUCCUCAUCGGAGCGCGCGAAGAGCGGCGCCGCGGCGAGGUCCGGCGGGAGCUUGACGCGGCAGGAGGCGACGAGCGCAUCGAGCAGGCCGCAGCGGUUACCGAAGGAGAGGCGGGAGAAGCUGGAGGAGGAAGAAGAGGGAGAAGGCGCGAGGGCCUCGAGGAGGAGGGCGUUGGUGUUGGGGUGGAGGGAGGAGAGGCGGCCGGGGAAGAGGGAUCCGGCGCCGUGGAGGAAGAGGAGCGCGGGGCGGCCAUGGGCGUCGGCGAGGAGCUCGAAGACGGGCGCCCAGCGGAGGCGCGGGGAGAGCUCCUGCGGGAUGGCGCGGAUGGCGACGAGGGAGAGGAACCCCGGGAGCGCCGCCACCAGGUUGCCCAGCUCCGGGUUCUGCUGCGCCCAGAGACCGCGGAGCGGGGCCGCGGAGUGGAGGAAGCGGCAGACGGUAAGAGAGGAGCCCCCGGCGGCGGCGCGCCAUGAGAGGAGGUGCGACGGCGGGGAAGAAGAAGGGAGCAGGCGGCGGCACUGCGCCAGCCAGGGCUUGUCGGCAGCGGAGAGGGCCGCGUGGAGGCGGCGGUCGGCGGCGGAGAGCGCCAGGAGGUCCCGCGGGCGGAGGUGGGCGGAGAUCAGGGCCAGCACGUCGUCCGGGAGCGCCAGGAUCAGCUCGCCCCCGGCCAUGGAGAUCGGGGUUGGGUGGGCCGUCUGCUUCCUUUCGCCUUUUUCUUUUCUUUUCUCAACCUCAAAAAAGUUCCAAGCUUUAUAAUCCUGCGAGAAGAAGACUGUGAAGAGUGACAAGCUCAGCCUGGUCUUUUUCCUCGGACGAUGAAGAAAUAUCUCUUUUUUUUUGCAUUUCGCUCUCGUGCUAUUCUCGCUGGCCACCUUGCUAAAAUAUCUCGAACCACUGUCUACACCAUUUUAUUACGCUUAUCGGUCUAUUUAUCUGCAGUUUCCUCCACAUUGCUCGACAUUGAUAAAUCACCUUCUCUAGUCACCUUCAUGCACCACAAGCUUCAGUGGAUUUACCAAUAAUUUCUUAACCCGAGUCUCUUUCGGACCCAAAAGGUGGACACACAAACUACGUGAUCAACAAGAAUGAUGUGAUACGAGGCAACAAGCAAGGAUCCGCGUCCGUUCAUGGGUUCGGAGUGUCAAAACUCAGCUCUAUGUUUCGUAGGAUUUUUACAGAAUUUCAAUCCUAGGAGUUUUUUUCUACAUGUAGCAUGGUUUCAGAACGAACAUGUUAGAUUUCUAAGAACUGUAUCCAAAUUGGCAUAAUUCAUAAGGAUUCUAAACAUCAGGUACGAGCUCAUUUAAAAUUAUUAAAGAAUAAAUAUGCAUGACAUUUCAAUCAUCUAUUUUCAUAUUCAUAUGAUUUCAAAAUCCUAUGAACCGAAUAAGCCCUAGGAUUACGACGUUGUCAAGGGUCAAGAAUGUAAAAAAGAAAAGUGUUAUAGAAGGGAAAAAAACGUCACCGUCAAAAAGAAUGAAUUAGUUUUGAUUUGGUCACAAGGUCUAGAAGAAGAAGAUGCUGCUUCUUGGUGGAUGUCAUGUCGACGUCAAGAUCACCUAUUGGCACAUUUCGUCCAGUCGUCGUUUGUAGUUUAUGUCCAGCGAAUUUGAGACCCGGUCAAACAGUGAACUCAUCAUCCUCGACGACUUUGACCAGGGUGGGUCCUUUGGGCCUUAAAAGACUCUCCUCGCUUUGGGCCCAUUAUAUUAGACAAGACCCCUUAUACAAAACAAGAGAGAGGCCAAGCCCAUGAGCAGAAGAACGCAACGGGCUGUGGGCCGGAAGCAGUAUCACCGUGGCAUCGAGAGCAGAUUACUUUUUAUUCGCUCAAACUAACAAUGAAACCUGCCCUAAAAAAAAACUAACAAUGAAUGAUCCCUAAAAAAAAAUUACCACUUGAAUGACAGGUCGUCCUCUACAAUUAUGGUUGUUUACAUGGCCUAAAUCAGCCAACUUUGUCUGACCACUCUGCUCUACGGUCGAAUCUAAGCUAGUAACUUAAUGGGCUUGUUUGGUCCUAAUCAUGGAAGAUGAUGAUUGGUCUAUGACAUAGAUACAGACUGGGACAGGGGCGCCAGACUCGUGCCUAAUCCUUCUUGUUUCAUCCAAGAAAAGUCUUAAGCCGUAUACACUGCCAGCCGGUACGCAUCGCAAUCUCAGGAUGACGCUCAAAUUGUCAAACCAGUUUGUCCUAAGAUGAGUUUUUUGUUUUGUUCAACGUAUAGCUGUAAUGGUCUGAUGGCAAAGAAUCUAACUGAAUGUAUAGCUGCAUGGUCUGAUGACAAAAGAGUACGCAUCUCAGAAAAAUGCGGGCAAGAACACAAGCAAAACCAAAGAUUAAUACGAUAACACACUGUACGAAAUUAACACUGGAUAGAGAUCGAAAAAUAACAAUCAAGAAAUACGUAAAUGUAACCCUGCAAAAGAAACAUAAAUGUACUGCAUAAUUACAGUACACAAUAAUACUUGUUGCAGCAAAACUCUGAUGAUCAUCAUCAUUUCUGAUUGUGAAGACGUCCUUUCAAUGAAAUUCAAUCAAGAAACCAAUUGCUUCAUUGCUCAUGAUAGCUACGAGUAGCUAGUAACGGCAUGAAAUCGAGAUCAUCUUAAUCUGUUUUGCAGCUGAUUGCAUGCUCCUCAUUUCUUGGCGGCGGCAUUGCUGGAGGAGGAAGAAGCUGAAGCAGAGGAGGUCCUCUGUUCGUCGACCUUGUGCACCACCUUGCUCCUGCCUCUGUGCGCCACCAACAUCUUCCUCAGCGCGCGCAUCAUCGCCACCAGCCCCGGCGCCCUUCUCCGGGACGAGCCGCUCCUCCUCGCCGCCGCGACCUGCAGCACCGCCACCUCGCGCUCCUCCUUCGCUGCCCGCCGCCGGCGGGAAAUGUCGAAGGACAGGUCGUCGUCGGCCAAGUCCUCCCUGCCGUCGUCGUUGAGGUCCUCCCACAGGCUGUCCAUCAUCUCCUCUUCUUCGUCCUCGGCUCCGGCGGGGGAGCAGAAAUUGGCGCGCCAUGGCGAUGCGGGAGCGGCGCUGGAGUCCGCGGCAGAGAAGCUGCGGCGGAUGGGCGACGACGAGAGCAGCCACGCCGGCGGCGGAGACGCGGACGCCCUGCUGUAAUUCCGGCGGUGGCUGUAGGUGCUGCUGCUGCAGCAGGCGGCGGCGAGGAGCUGAGGCGGCGGCGUGGGGAAGCUGAAGUCGUCGUCUUGCUCCGCCAUCGCCAUUGCCUAUUCUCUUCUCCCUUCUCUGCUCUGCUCUGUUCUGCUACUGCUGGAUUGCGUCUUGGUGGGGAAGAAGAUGCCAGUAGUGCUUCUGUUACCUAGCUACGUGUUGACUCUCAUCAAAUAAGGAGAGGAAGA